CUACCAAGCCUGCGGCGGAAUGUUGCGUUAAGGGAAAGGUCGUUAAUAAGCCCUGCACUACCUGGCCUAAGUUUGGCUUGAAUUGUUCACUGUAUCCUAACGGGUACUACGGCUCCACAGAGGGUGUCAGACCCGUGUGGCCAUGUGAUUAAAUGUGCGUGGGUUCGGCUUUAUUCCCUGAGAGUCGCGUUGCUUGAGCAUGCAGCGCUAAGCAGGUCGUAAACUCGACCUAAGGCUAAAUAUAUUCACAGAACCGAUAGUAAACAAGUACCGUGAGGGAAAGUUGAAAAGUACUCUGAAGAGAGAGUUAAAAGACCGUGAAACCGCUUAGAGUAUAAGCCAAUGGUUUUCUGGAAUGCUGGAGCUACCCUGUGCCCUUGUGGGGAAGGGUAUCGUUUGUGCGAGAAUGAAGACUGACGGGCAAUGGAAGUGGCAUUGAGUUGAUAUCACGGCAACCGAAUCUCGCGGGUCUCUGACAGUGGUAACAGGGAACGUUCUAAUGAGGAACUGAACCGAGGCUGGGCUUGUGCGAGCGUCAGUUUCUAAGCACAAUAACGAAUUGCUUUCUAAACAGCACACCACAAUCCUUUAUAAGGUCUCCCUCGUGCGGCGGUGAGAUUCUCUCAGCUAGUCGUGGCGUGCUCUCUUGCGACAGUUGUGUUCUCCGGUAAAUGCUAGAGGCCGGCCGACUAUGCAUAUUGCCAUCCAGACACGGGCGGAAUGAUCCUAUGUGAAGAUUGAAUCUGACCAUCCGAAACCCGCAAACCGGCGCGAGUACCGCGGCUUCUGGAGGGUCUUAGGCCUUAGAUAGUUGUGGGAGCUGUUGUGGUGGAGGAGGAUUGGUGUAUUAUUCCAGAGCCAUCGGUCACGUCUCGAAACACGGGCCAAGGAGCAUAGCAUGUGCGCAAGUCUAAGGGAUAAGAAAUCCUGGAGGCGAAGUGAAAGCAAAUGGUGUGUUUACGAGUGUGUCGCACACGCGUAUUCAGUCUGCGAUCAGCGUAAUUCCUAUAUGGAUGAAUGCGUGUCCUGCUUAAACUGGGUUGAUCCUAUUGUAAUAAAGCCACACUGGCGAUACGUGGGCGCAAACCCCAGGCUCUCUCAACAAGGGUAUUAUCCUUGUGAGAGCACUGCAGAGCGUGCAUGUUAUAACCCGAA
RNAcentral lists this ribosomal RNA (1155 nucleotides) under Epimeria loricata. RNAcentral describes it as "eukaryotic LSU rRNA". It matches the Rfam family "Eukaryotic large subunit ribosomal RNA", at positions 124 to 820 of the family's 3401-position model. Lineage: Eukaryota; Metazoa; Arthropoda; Malacostraca; Amphipoda; Epimeriidae. The record is from RNAcentral.